GACGAACGCUGGCGGCGUGCUUAACACAUGCAAGUCGAACGGAAAGGCCCUGCUUUUGUGGGGUGCUCGAGUGGCGAACGGGUGAGUAACACGUGAGUAACCUGCCCUUGACUUUGGGAUAACUUCAGGAAACUGGGGCUAAUACCGGAUAGGAGCUCCUGCUGCAUGGUGUGGGUUGGAAAGUUUCGGCGGUUGGGGAUGGACUCGCGGCUUAUCAGCUUGUUGGUGGGGUAGUGGCUUACCAAGGCUUUGACGGGUAGCCGGCCUGAGAGGGUGACCGGCCAAAUUGGGACUGAGAUACGGCCCAGACUCCUACGGGAGGCAGCAGUGGGGAAUAUUGCAAAAUGGGCGGAAGCCUGAUGCAGCAACGCCGCGUGCGGGAUGACGGCCUUCGGGUUGUAAACCGCUUUCGCCUGUGACGAAGCGUGAGUGACGGUAAUGGGUAAAGAAGCACCGGCUAACUACGUG
RNAcentral lists this ribosomal RNA (468 nucleotides) under uncultured bacterium. RNAcentral describes it as "partial 16S ribosomal RNA". It matches the Rfam family "Bacterial small subunit ribosomal RNA", at positions 28 to 507 of the family's 1533-position model. The record is from RNAcentral.